AGACCCGAAACCCGGUGAUCUAGCCAUGGGCAGGUUGAAGGUUGGGUAACACUAACUGGAGGACCGAACCGACUAAUGUUGAAAAAUUAGCGGAUGACCUGUGGCUGGGGGUGAAAGGCCAAUCAAACCGGGAGAUAGCUGGUUCUCCCCGAAAGCUAUUUAGGUAGCGCCUCGUGAAUUCAUCUCCGGGGGUAGAGCACUGUUUCGGCUAGGGGGCCAUCCCGGCUUACCAACCCGAUGCAAACUGCGAAUACCGGAGAAUGUUAUCACGGGAGACACACGGCGGGUGCUAACGUCCGUCGUGAAGAGGGAAACAACCCAGACCGCCAGCUAAGGUCCCAAAGUCAUGGUUAAGUGGGAAACGAUGUGGGAAGGCCCAGACAGCCAGGAUGUUGGCUUAGAAGCAGCCAUCAUUUAAAGAAAGCGUAAUAGCUCACUGGUCGAGUCGGCCUGCGCGGAAGAUGUAACGGGGCUAAACCAUGCACCGAAGCUGCGGCAGCGAACGUAUCACCCAAGACAACUUUACGGAGUUGACGAUUGACGGAGCGAAGCGACGUCAAAGCGUUCAUUAAAGUCGAGUUGGCUUAGGGAUACGUUCGUUGGGUAGGGGAGCGUUCUGUAAGCCUGUGAAGGUGUGUCGUGAGGCAUGCUGGAGGUAUCAGAAG
Molecule: ribosomal RNA, 665 nt
Filed under: Salmonella enterica
Lineage: Bacteria; Pseudomonadati; Pseudomonadota; Gammaproteobacteria; Enterobacterales; Enterobacteriaceae
Also listed under: 3 other names
Description: partial 23S ribosomal RNA
Rfam family: Bacterial large subunit ribosomal RNA
Source: RNAcentral